CACCACUCAAGCCUCGCUUGGUAUUGGGCGUCGCGGUCCGCCGCGUGCCUCAAAUCGACCGGCUGGGUCGAUCGCACCCUCAGCGUUGUGCAAACUAAUCGCCGAAGGAGUCGUGGUCGGUCACGCCGUGAAACAAACCAAAUUUCAAU
This 149-nucleotide unclassified non-coding RNA is filed under the name uncultured Toxicocladosporium. RNAcentral's name for it is "sequence contains ITS2". The record is from RNAcentral. Lineage: Eukaryota; Fungi; Ascomycota; Dothideomycetes; Capnodiales.